GGGGGCGGGGCGGCGGCGGCGGCGGCCGGGGAGGGUCAGUUGGAGGCAGGCGCUCGCUGAGGCAGGAGGAGGCGCUCGGCCCGCGGCCUGACAGGGACUUAGCCCGCAGAGAUCGACCCCGCGCGCGCGACCCCACACCCACCCACUUAUCCACCUAUCCACUCCCUGCGCCGCCUCCUCCCACCCUGAGCAGAGCCGCCGAGGAUGAUAAACACCCAGGACAGGCUGGAAUACAGUGCACAAUAUUGGCUCACUGCAACCUCUGCCUCCCAGGUUCAAGUGGUUCUCCUGCGUCAGCCUCCUGAGUAGCUGAGUCUACAGGAAAUGAGCUGCAUCUCAGCCUAAGGAACCACUAAAUUGGAUUCAAAGAAGACAGUUGAGCAGAUCUACAGCCCUGUUGGGUCCAUCUGAAAAUCAAGGUGGCCAAUAAGUAUUUUGCCUUUGAGUAACUGUCCCCAGCUCCAGUGCUGCAGGCACAUUGUUCCGGGGCCUCUGUGGUGCUCCUGAUGCCCCUCACCCACUGUCGAAGAUCCCCGGUGGGCGAGGGGGCGGCAGGGAUCCUUCUCUCUCAGCUCUAAUAUAUAAGGACGAGAAGCUCACUGUGACCCAGGACCUCCCUGUGAAUGAUGGAAAACCUCACAUUAUCCACUUCCAGUAUGAGGUCACCGAGGUGAAGGUCUCUUCUUGGGAUGCAGUCCUGUCCAGCCAGAGCCUGUUUGUAGAAAUCCCAGAUGGAUUAUUAGCUGAUGGGAGCAAAGAAGGAUUGUUAGCACUGCUAGAGUUUGCUGAAGAAAAGAUGAAACUGAACUACGUCUUCAUCUGCUUCAGGAAGGGCCGAGAAGACAGAGCUCCACUCCUGAAGACCUUCAGCUUCUUGGGCUUUGAGAUUGUACGUCCAGGCCAUCCCUGUGUUCCCUCUCAGCCAGAUGUGAUGUUCAUGGUUUAUCCCCUGGACCACAACUUGUCCGAUGAGGACUAAUGGUCAUAGAGGAUGCUUUGCCCAAGAGCCACAGUGGGGGAACAGGGGAAGUUAGGCAGCCCUGGGACAGAGGAGAGGGCUCCUUGCUGUCUAGGGAAGGACACUGAGGAGCUCAGGGUAAGGGUUGCCUAUUGUGUUCUGGGAGUUGACUCGUUGAAAUUGUUUUCCAUAAAGAACAGUAUAAACAUAUUAUUCACAUGUAAUCACCAAUAGUAAAUGAAGAUGUUUAUGAACUGGCAUUAGAAGCUUUUUAAACUGCGCUGUGUGAUGUGCUCUAUCUAGCCUAGGGGAGGACAUUGCCUAGAGGGGGAGGGACUGUCUGGGUUCAGGGGAAUGGCCUGGAGGGCUGGUGGGCAGCACUGUCAGGCUCAGGUUUCCCUGCUGUUGGCUUUCUGUUUUGGUUAUUAAGACUUGCGCAUUUUCUUUCCUUGCUUCCUGUCACCCCAGGGGCUCCUGAGUAUAGGCUUUUCAUCCCUGGGCAGUGUCCUUGAGUUGUUUUGACACUCUUACCUGGCCUUCUCUGUGUGCGUUUGUGUCUGGCCUGGAGUAAGCAGGUCCGACCCCUCCUUCUCUACAGUUUAGUGUUAUUCUGGCAUUUGGUUAAGCUGGCUUAAUCUGUUUAAUGUUAUCAGUACAUUUUAAAUAGGGGCACUGAAGUUUACUCCCACCACCACCAGGGCUUUUUUGGGGGGUGCCUGGGCCUUAAAAAACACUAGCCAAACUCGAAUUCUCAAAUCACUGCCGGGAGUUCUUGCUCCUGGCUGCAGGCCCAGGCCCCAAGGUCUCCUUCCUGGGGUCACAAAGAGCAGUAAGAAAGAGGAAUAUAUUAGCAACUCAGGGCCUGGGAAUUGUGGGGAAAUUUGUUCUUAGGGACUGGUUGUUUCUGGCUGGCUGAGUAUAGUGCUAACUGCCUCCCCAGCAGGUUCUGAGUAGUGCCUGAGACCCUGCUCUGCAGGGCCUAGGGUAGUGCUGGGAGUGCAGAAGUGGCCUGCCCUUAACUGUUUUCACUGAACAGCUUGUUUUAAGGGGAGAGGAAGGGGAGAAAUCUAGACUGGAUGAGGGGAAUGGGGAUGUCAGGGAGGCAAGUGUGUUGUGUUACUGUGUCAAUAAACUGAUUUAAAGUUG
Callithrix jacchus (white-tufted-ear marmoset) is the source of this 2104-nucleotide RNA transcript. It is a transcript of the gene named ornithine decarboxylase antizyme 2, with no coding region annotated. Lineage: Eukaryota; Metazoa; Chordata; Mammalia; Primates; Cebidae. The record is from RefSeq and is marked reviewed.